Molecule: long non-coding RNA, 2236 nt
Organism: Cercocebus atys (sooty mangabey)
Lineage: Eukaryota; Metazoa; Chordata; Mammalia; Primates; Cercopithecidae
Exons: 3
Source: RefSeq, a predicted model, not a curated record
UAUAGCAACACUAAAUGGACUAAGACACCCUCCAUGAAGAGAAGAGCCGCCCUAGGCAUUAGAUGAUUAAAGUCUCUAAGAAGCCCUGCAGUAAAGAAACAGGCAUAGCUGAACAUUCAGCUCUGGCUUUCUGUAAUGUUGUGAUUUGGGCAGAAGGUGUGGAAGCUGCCUACUUACCUCUCUACAGGAUCUCUGCCCAUGUAGAGCUCAUCUCAGAGUGGAUGCUGUGUGUUUUGUUUUGUUCUUUUCUUUCAGUAAGACUGUGAGUUUAUCACACUUUAUACUCAUUUCCCUUGUUUAGUCGCAGGUGAUUCCAGGGCGAUUUCAAUUGACGAUGCUUUGAACAGAUUCUCCUAAAAAUACACAAAUCCCGCUGUUAGGAGCUAAGCCACUUCUAUUGCAUUUAGAACCAUAUUUGAUAACUAGUUUGACAUGGUGACUCCUGUCCUCAAGGGACUUUUUGCUCAAGAGUGCAGUGACUAAAGAGUUCAAAUAUUAGAUGCCCACUUUUUCACCAGUCUUUGCCAGGUUUAAUUCUAUUUAAUGGGUGUUGAAUAAGACUUUCCCAUGUGUCAGGCACUAUGCUAGAUGCUUAGGGUACAAAAUGUACUAAUAAACUGUUCCUGCCCUAAAGAAUGUCUCUUCUGACUCAGAGCAUAACAUAUUAUUUUAACAUAAUUCUGCGAGUGCUGAAACUCUGUUAUCACCUGCACAUAAGCAGGAGAUGGGGAGGCACCAGUUGAAGGCGCUUAGCGGAGAGGAAAGGGAGAACCUGGGAUGAAAGUUAGUUGAAAGAUGCAGAAAAGUUACCCUGAGAAUAAAGAUAGCAGAAAGAAAAUCUAAUUUAACUUUUUUUUUUUUUUAAAUACACUCUCUGCCAGCAACUCUUUCUGUAAGGUCCUAAGGGUUCUAAGACGAAUACGGCCCACUCCCUCCCUUCCAGGACUUUAGCUGAGGUUGGUUGGAGCUGAAGUCGGGCAAGACUCAUAGGAACGGAUGAAGGGAGAGAGAAUCCAGAGGCAACGUGAAUUCCAAGUAUAGGUUUCAGACAGGCGGGAUCAGCAGCAGCCCUACCAGUGUUUGUGCAGAACCCCCAGAGCUGACACUGGUGACUGUGACACGUGACCUGGCACCCCCAGGUGGGUGGGCCCCAGGUGAGUCCACCUGGGCUCCAGCCAAGGAACCUGCCUCCAGAGGUCAGAGGUUGUGAUGCACGGUGCCGAUGGACUCAGAAUUCCAGACUCGGGACACAAGGGAAGAUGGAAGGCAACUGUGUAAAACAAAGAGGCAGCAGCAGGAAGGUCCCAGCGAAAGCAGAUUCACUGGCCAGAAUUCCCAAAAGCCUCUCUGCAGUGUGGUUCCCAGACCAGCAGCAUCAACUCACUUGGGGACUUGUUAGAAAUGAAUCUGCCUGUCAGUGAGAGGCCCAGGGGUUCCUGUGCUUGACGGCACUGCACUAAACAAAGCUGAGCCUUUGCCAACUCCUCUAGGUCUCUACCCACUGGCUAAGACUCCGUCAAGGGCACAUAGGGCUGGAGUAUUAUACAGUGAGCAGAAGAUAUUUGCAACUUAAUAGUGUUAAGGAGUAGUGUUAGAAGCGGGGGAACGAAGAAUAGUGUUAAGGAGCGGGGGAACGCUGAUUUUUUUUCUCUGUCUCUCUUGUAUAUUAUAUCAUAAGAGAUCUGGACUCAGAAGAGAUUUAAGUUUCAAACCUGGCUUUGUCAGUUAAUGCUUGUGGGAUCUCAACCAAGUCACCGACUUCUCUGAACAUGCUUCCAUAUUUCUACAAAGGAAACAAUAAGUGACUCUGCUGAGUUGAGCACUUGCAAGUACCAAGCAGUGAGGACCUGAGGCACGGAUGCUAAUCAGCUUGCUGGAGAUCACACUCAUGAGUGGCAGAGUGGGUCUCGAAACCAGGCAGCCUGGCUCUGGAGCCCACACUCCAUCCACACACCAUGCUGGGACCCCAUGGAGUGACCAGCAGACUGGUUGUGUGGGUUAGGUGGAACGGUGCAUAUAAACCACACAGCCCAGCUCCUGACCCGUGCUGGGCCCUCAGUAAGUUACUACUUUCAUUAUUAUACAUGUGUAGAUGAAAGUUGGGGGGGUAAUAGUGAUUUUCCCUAAGAUGAUGGAAUUUUAGGUGCCUUUGCCUUUUCUUACCUGUAUAUUCCUGAAAUCAACGUGUUCUGCUUUUGUCACAAGAAGAGAGGAAAUAAUUGUCCUUUUUUUUUGA